RNAcentral lists this ribosomal RNA (1004 nucleotides) under human gut metagenome. RNAcentral's name for it is "bacterial LSU rRNA". It matches the Rfam family "Bacterial large subunit ribosomal RNA", at positions 1913 to 2925 of the family's 2925-position model. The record is from RNAcentral.
UUAAGCCCCAGUAAACGGCGGCCGUAACUAUAACGGUCCUAAGGUAGCGAAAUUCCUUGUCGGGUAAGUUCCGACCUGCACGAAUGGCGUAACGAUUUGGGCGCUGUCUCGACCAUGGACCCGGUGAAAUUGUAUUAUUCGUGAAGAUGCGAAUUACCUGCGGAAGGACGGAAAGACCCCGUGAACCUUUACUGCAGCUUGGCAUUGGCUGUUGGCACGUCGUGUAGAGGAUAGGUGGGAGACUGUGAAGCAGAAACGCCAGUUUCUGUGGAGUCACCCUUGGAAUACCACCCUCGGCUUGCUGGCAGCCUAACGUGUGAGCGUUAUCCGCCACACGGACCGUGCCAGGUGGGUAGUUUGACUGGGGCGGUCGCCUCCUAAAUGGUAACGGAGGCGUGCGUAAGGUUCGCUCAGGAUGGUUGGCAAUCAUCCGUAGAGCACAAGAGUAUAAGCGAGCUUGACUGCGAGACCUACAAGUCGAGCAGAGACGAAAGUCGGUUCUAGUGAUCCGGCGGCCCAGCGUGGAAUGGCCGUCGCUCAACGGAUAAAAGGUACUCCGGGGAUAACAGGCUGAUCUUGCCCAAGAGUCCACAUCGACGGCAAGGUUUGGCACCUCGAUGUCGGCUCAUCGCAUCCUGGGGCUGUAGCAGGUCCCAAGGGUUGGGCUGUUCGCCCAUUAAAGCGGUACGCGAGCUGGGUUCAGAACGUCGUGAGACAGUUCGGUCCCUAUCCUCCGUGGGCGUAAGAGAAUUGAGAGGAUCUGUCCCUAGUACGAGAGGACCGGGAUGGACGGACCUCCGGUGUCGCAGUUGUUGACCAACAGCAUGGCUGCCUAGCCGCGUCCGGAUGUGAUAACCGCUGAAAGCAUCUAAGUGGGAAGCCGACCUCAAGAUGAGUUCUCUUUUUGGUAAGGCCACUUCUAGACUAGGAGUUUGAUAGGCCGCAGCUGUAAGGCGAGCAAUCGUUUCAGGCGAGCGGUACUAAUCGGCCGAGCUCUUCAUCUA